GUCUAUAUGAAGCUAUAUAAAGUCUGACCUGCCCAUUGAAAUUUUAAAAGGCCGCGGUAUUCUAACUGUGCAAAGGUAGCAUAAUAAUUAGUUUUUUAAUUGAAAGCUUGUAUGAAAGGUUGGACAAAGAAAAAUCUGUCUUUAGUGUUAAUCUUGAAUUUUACAUUUAAGUGAAAAGGCUUAAAUUUAUUUAAGGGACGAUAAGACCCUAUAAAUCUUUACAUUAGUUUAUUUUUUAUUGGUUUAGAUUAUAAUUAAUUAGAAUAUAAAUAUAUGUUUUAUUGGGGUGAUAGAGAUACAAUUUAAUAACUGUUUUAACUUAAAACAAAUAUAUUUGAUUAAUCGAAAAGAUCCUUUUUAGAGAUUAAAAGUUUAAGAUACUUUAGGGAUAACAGCGUAAUUUUUUUUGAGAGUUCUUAUCGAAAAAAAAGUUUGCGACCUCGAUGUUGAAUUAAAAAUUCUUUACAGUGCAGAAGUUGUGAAGGAAAGUCUGUUCGACUUUUAAAAUUUU
Molecule: ribosomal RNA, 511 nt
Filed under: Munidopsis senticosa
Lineage: Eukaryota; Metazoa; Arthropoda; Malacostraca; Decapoda; Munidopsidae
Description: partial 16S large subunit ribosomal RNA
Rfam family: Bacterial large subunit ribosomal RNA
Source: RNAcentral